This 468-nucleotide ribosomal RNA is filed under the name uncultured bacterium. RNAcentral describes it as "partial 16S ribosomal RNA". It matches the Rfam family "Bacterial small subunit ribosomal RNA", at positions 28 to 507 of the family's 1533-position model. The record is from RNAcentral.
GACGAACGCUGGCGGCGUGCUUAACACAUGCAAGUCGAACGGAAAGGCCCUGCUUUUGUGGGGUGCUCGAGUGGCGAACGGGUGAGUAACACGUGAGUAACCUGCACUUGACUUUGGGAUAACUUCAGGAAACUGGGGCUAAUACCGGAUAGGAGCUCCUGCUGCAUGGUGGGGGUUGGAAAGUUUCGGCGGUUGGGGAUGGACUCGCGGCUUAUCAGCUUGUUGGUGGGGUAGUGGCUUACCAAGGCUUUGACGGGUAGCCGGCCUGAGAGGGUGACCGGCCACAUUGGGACUGAGAUACGGCCCAGACGCCUACGGGAGGCAGCAGUGGGAAAUAUUGCACAAUGGGCGGAAGCCUGAUGCAGCAACGCCGCGUGCGGGAUAACGGCCUUCGGGUUGUAAACCGCUUUCGCCUGUGACGAAGCGUGAGUGACGGUAAUGGGUAAAGAAGCACCGGCUAACUACGUG